UACGGAGGGAGCUAGCGUUGUUCGGAAUUACUGGGCGUAAAGCGCGCGUAGGCGGCUUUGUAAGUUAGAGGUGAAAGCCCGGGGCUCAACCCCGGAACUGCCUUUAAGACUGCAUCGCUUGAAUCCGGGAGAGGUGAGUGGAAUUCCGAGUGUAGAGGUGAAAUUCGUAGAUAUUCGGAAGAACACCAGUGGCGAAGGCGGCUCACUGGACCGGCACUGACGCUGAUGUGCGAAAGCGUGGGGAGCAGACAGG
This 253-nucleotide ribosomal RNA is filed under the name uncultured bacterium. Its description in RNAcentral is "partial 16S ribosomal RNA". It matches the Rfam family "Bacterial small subunit ribosomal RNA", at positions 524 to 776 of the family's 1533-position model. The record is from RNAcentral.